CCAAGAUAAGCUUGCUGAUCCCACUAUGUGGAGCAGAGAGAAACCAAGCUGGAGUGUUAGGCUGUGGGCAGAGGCAAGGGUUUUACUUUUAAAUCACAGUCGAGUCUAAGAUCAAGAACCCACUAAGAUGACAAAGUGUUUACCAUGCACCUGGGCUCCACGCCAGGGCUCUGACAGAGCCAGUGCCAAGCCGGGGCUUCUUCUCUGAGCCACCAAGUUCAACCAGUGCAUAGACAGCAAGACAGAGCCUUUACAGCCUCCCUUGAAAUAUAGAAGCACGCAGUCAGGCAUGGUGGGGGAAAACAAGGUGAGAGGUGCUUUUACGGUGGGGUGAAGAGUGAGGUAGAGAGGCCCAAUUUUGACUUGCCCUUUUUUCUGUCUUCUUCCUCCAGGUGCAAGACCAGGAUGUCAGACCUGCAGAGGACCUCUGGAGGCAAAAAACGGAGUGAGAAUCUGCAGACAGAGGAGUAUCUCUGGGCACACACAGGGCUCGGAGUCAGAGCCUGGCUGAGGAAUUGUUCAUUCAGUUUGGGGCAGUUUGUAUUUUCUGUCCCCAUGAUAUUCCUGGAAUUGCCAGCAUGAGAAAGCAAUCCAUGGGUGCCCAGGUUAGCUGCCCCCCAGCCCCUUUCCCACCUGACUCCCUCACCUCAAAAGGGUAGAUAAUUCAAAACCCCUCUAGUUCACAAUAAGCUGCCUGUGGCAUCAGCAUGUGGCACCAGUCACUCUGUCUCUGUCGUUUGUUUCUGAAGUCAUCACCAGAGACUCCAGUUUCAUAAUCCACAGUGGACUUAAAAAUAGAGGGAAAUUUAUUCCAAGAUAAUUUGGUCUUCAAAUGGACAUCAGAGAGCCUGGCUUUUCAGAUGCCAGAAGCUGCUGAUGCUCGCCAUGAACAUCAUGGCCUGAGGAGAAUCAGCCUUCCUUCCUGGUGGUCCCUUGACUAGAUGAUUGACAGGCCCAACUGGAUUAAGUCUUGAGAGAGGAGACAAUGACAUCUCUUCACACAGAGGCCCUGGGGAGGCCCCAGCAAGGAACCCUGCCAGCACCAACUGCGACUGAGGAGAACGUGACUCGUGAAGGUAGCAGAGAAUGAACUGUAAGCUUACUGGCUGAAAUCCCACUUAGGGUUGCUCUGUGGGCAUCUCCUCCUCUAUGAUAGGUGUGUGUAAGUCCACAGACCAUGGACAGGUAAGAUGGCUUAGUGGGUAAAGAUCCUUACUACAAAGG
Peromyscus maniculatus bairdii (prairie deer mouse) is the source of this 1224-nucleotide non-coding RNA. Lineage: Eukaryota; Metazoa; Chordata; Mammalia; Rodentia; Cricetidae. The record is from RefSeq and is a predicted model, not a curated record.